UUUUCUUAAAAAUAUUUAAAAAGGAGAGUUUGUGAAGAAAAUUAAACUAAGAAAUUUAAUAAAAAUGCAAUUGAUAAUGAUAUCAGUUGGAAGAAACCUAGGGCAAGGAAUUCACCACUAACUCAGGUAUAAGGGUUAUUUGUAAUUUAUUUCAUUCUUGGAUUAUUAUGCAAGUCGGCUACAAGCCUAAUAAGCAUUUGAAUAAAAUUUUAAAAAAGUAAUUUAGGCAUAGUCCAUCUUUAGUUAGCAUGAAAUGUCUACCCUAAUCUAAGGUGGCAGCACAUCGCAUCUUCCUUAAGCAUGAACUAUCUUAUUUUUACUUCAAUGAUAAUGAAAAACUUUUGUUUAGACUUCAUACUUGAAAUCAUAGAAUUUAAGCAUGAGGUAAAAGGAUAUUUAUUAAGAACAAGAAUGUCUAUACAAUUCCAAGAACAUGAAAUUAAAUAAACAAAAUCCGUUUUCCUUUGUUAGGGCUGCAUCCAGCCCUAAUGAAGAGAUUAGGCUUCCAUGCAGUGGUGGACGGCAGCAGCACUGUAGUGAACUUCCAUCACGGCUACCUCCAUCUCUUCGACAUCUCCUUCCGGUGGAGCCUCUACUGAAAACGGCUCCCUCUCAGCUCUUCUGGGAAAUCAUUCCCAGAAUACCCAAACCAUUCUCCCUCUUCAAGUAAUAUCUUCC
This 678-nucleotide long non-coding RNA is filed under the name Phoenix dactylifera (date palm). RNAcentral's name for it is "long non-coding RNA (PDAC_LNC018082)". Lineage: Eukaryota; Viridiplantae; Streptophyta; Magnoliopsida; Arecales; Arecaceae. The record is from RNAcentral.